GACGAACGCUGGCGGCGUGCUUAACACAUGCAAGUCGAACGGAAAGGCCCUGCUUUUGUGGGGUGCUCGAGUGGCGAACGGGUGAGUAACACGUGAGUAACCUGCCCUUGACUUUGGGAUAACUUCAGGAAACUGGGGCUAAUACCGGAUAGGAGCUCCUGCUGCAUGGUGGGGGUUGGAAAGUUUCGGCGGUUGGGGAUGGACUCGCGGCUUAUCAGCUUGUUGGUGGGGUAGUGGCUUACCAAGGCUUUGACGGGUAGCCGGCCUGAGAGGGUGACCGGCCACAUUGGGACUGAGAUACGGCCCAGAGUGCUACGGGAGGCAGCAGUGGGGAAUAUUGCACAAUGGGCGGAAGCCUGAUGCAGCAACGCCGCGUGCGGGAUGACGGCCUUCGGGUUGUAAACCGCUUUCGCCUGUGACGAAGCGUGAGUGACGGUAAUGUGUAAAGAAGCACCGGCUAACUACGUG
RNAcentral lists this ribosomal RNA (468 nucleotides) under uncultured bacterium. Its description in RNAcentral is "partial 16S ribosomal RNA". It matches the Rfam family "Bacterial small subunit ribosomal RNA", at positions 28 to 507 of the family's 1533-position model. The record is from RNAcentral.